CGGCAGGCUUAACACAUGCAAGUCGAGGGGUAACAGGAGUGCUUGCACUCGCUGACGACCGGCGCACGGGUGCGUAACGCGUAUAGAACCUACCUUUUACUGAGGGAUAGCCUUUAGAAAUGAAGAUUAAUACCUCAUGGUAUUGUAAACUGGCAUCGGUUUAUAAUUAAAGAUUUAUUGGUAAAAGAUGGCUAUGCGUCUUAUUAGCUAGAUGGUAAGGUAACGGCUUACCAUGGCAACGAUAAGUAGGGGCCCUGAGAGGGGGAUCCCCCACACUGGUACUGAGACACGGACCAGACUCCUACGGGAGGCAGCAGUGAGGAAUAUUGGGCAAUGGAGGCAACUCUGACCCAGCCAUGCCGCGUGCAGGAAGACUGCCCUAUGGGUUGUAAACUGCUUUUAUACAGGAAGAAACACACCUACGUGUAGGUGCUUGACGGUACUGUAAGAAUAAGCACCGGCUAACUCCGUGCCAGCAGCCGCGGUAAUACGGAGGGUGCAAGCGUUAUCCGGAAUCAUUGGGUUUAAAGGGUCCGCAGGCGGUCAAUUAAGUCAGAGGUGGAAUCCCAUAGCUUAACUAUGGAACUGCCUUUGAUACUGGUUGACUUGAGUUAUACGGAAGUAGAUAGAAUAAGUAGUGUAGCGGUGAAAUGCAUAGAUAUUACUUAGAAUACCGAUUGCGAAGGCAGUCUACUACGUAUAUACUGACGCUCAUGGACGAAAGCGUGGGGAGCGAACCAGGAUAGAUACCCUGGUAG
This 758-nucleotide ribosomal RNA is filed under the name uncultured Bacteroidota bacterium. RNAcentral's name for it is "bacterial SSU rRNA". It matches the Rfam family "Bacterial small subunit ribosomal RNA", at positions 40 to 793 of the family's 1533-position model. The record is from RNAcentral. Lineage: Bacteria; Pseudomonadati; Bacteroidota.